CAGAGUUAAUGAGUAUUCAGCUGAUGGUAUAAUUAUGUUCUACAUGGUUUCUACUUAUAAUUGCAGGCAAAACCGUGGGGCGAUAAAAGGCAUUCUGUCCACUGGAAUCCGAAGUCAAGACCCCCGAUAUGGUCUGAGGUAGCAAAUGUCGUUCCAUGCAGGGCAUAGCUCCAGGAGCCACUUUCGUGUUCUUAUAAAUGGACAUCACUGUGACUUUAACAGAGGAAAUGCAAACACAAUGAAUAAGCCUUCCUUUUCACAUUCCAGGAAGUCUAUGGAGAAAGCAAGAAGAAGAAAGAUGUGAGAGUGUCAUGCAUGUUACAUGUUACAAGAAAUACAUUGGUGUGGCAGAGACUCAAGCACUACUCAUCGUGGUCAAGUUACCCAUGACUAGCAUCUUCUCCUCUCACGUGAACAAUCUGGACUGGCGACCAUCUUAACUGGAACAACUGGGUAAGUUUUCAGAGACUUCAACUCUGACUAUUUCUCCUUCAAAGACUCACGUUGAAUGAAAGUGACGCCAUAAUGCCAGAGAGCAUAAAAAGUAAUAGACUCAAGAAAUGACUCACUAGAGACUAUUAAAAAUCCAUAAACAUUUUUAUAGAAAACGAACCAUUUGAAAAAUCAGCCUUCAUAAAACACUUUUAUGAGAUUCUCUAUAUCAUCUUAUGAUUUUAAAUUAAACUGCCUUAUCAAGACUGAGGGAUUAUCUC
Molecule: long non-coding RNA, 713 nt
Filed under: Rattus norvegicus (Norway rat)
Lineage: Eukaryota; Metazoa; Chordata; Mammalia; Rodentia; Muridae
Description: long non-coding RNA NONRATT032778
Source: RNAcentral